This 408-nucleotide ribosomal RNA is filed under the name uncultured bacterium. RNAcentral's name for it is "partial 16S ribosomal RNA". It matches the Rfam family "Bacterial small subunit ribosomal RNA", at positions 28 to 526 of the family's 1533-position model. The record is from RNAcentral.
GACGAACGCUGGCGGCGUGCUUAACACAUGCAAGUCGAACGAAGUGGCGAACGGGUGAGUAAUACGUGGGUAACCUGCCCUCCUUUUUGGGAUAAGCCUUGGAAACGGGGUCUAAUACCGAAUAAAGGGGGAUGGGCUGGCGGCCUAUCAGCUUGUUGGUGGGGAGAUGGCCUACCAAGGCGGUGACCGGUAGCCGGCCUGAGAGGGUGACCGGCCACAGUGGGACUGAGCCACGGCCCAGACUCCUACGGGAGGCAGCAGUGGGGGAUAUUGCACAAUGGGCGAAAGCCUGAUGCAGAGACGCCGCGUGGGGGAUGAAGGCUUUCGGGUUGUAAAGCACUGUUAUCAGAGAGGCGGUAACUGAUCAGAAAGCCACGGCUAACUACGUGCCAGCAGCCGCGGUAAUAC